CGGCGAGUGAAGCGGCAACAGCUCAAAUUUGAAAGCUGGCCCUUUUAGGGUCCGCGUUGUAAUUUGUAGAGGAUGAUUCGGCGAGGGCUCCCGCCUAAGUCCCCUGGAACGGGGCGUCAUAGAGGGUGAGAAUCCCGUAUGUGGUGGGCUGCCUUAGCCAUGUGAAUCUCCUUCGACGAGUCGAGUUGUUUGGGAAUGCAGCUCUAAAUGGGAGGUAAAUUUCUUCUAAAGCUAAAUACCGGCCAGAGACCGAUAGCGCACAAGUAGAGUGAUCGAAAGAUGAAAAGCACUUUGGAAAGAGAGUUAAAAAGUACGUGAAAUUGUUGAAAGGGAAGCGCUUGCAACCAGACUUGUCCGCAGUUGCUCAGCCGGUCUCCUGACCGGCGUACUCUUCUGCGGCCAGGCCAGCAUCAGUUCGGGCGGUCGGAUAAAGACCUCGGGAAUGUAGCUCCUCUCGGGGAGUGUUAUAGCCCGGGGUGGAAUGCGGCCAGCCUGGACUGAGGAUCUCGCUUCGGCAAGGAUGCUGGCGUAAUGGUUGUAAGCGGC
This 546-nucleotide ribosomal RNA is filed under the name Diplodia mutila. RNAcentral describes it as "eukaryotic LSU rRNA". It matches the Rfam family "Eukaryotic large subunit ribosomal RNA", at positions 87 to 648 of the family's 3401-position model. Lineage: Eukaryota; Fungi; Ascomycota; Dothideomycetes; Botryosphaeriales; Botryosphaeriaceae. The record is from RNAcentral.